GCCGGGCGUGGUGGUGCACGUCUGUAGUCCCAGCUACUCAGGAGGCUGAGGCAAGAGAAUCGCUUGAACCCAGGAGGCGGAGAUUGCAGUGAGCCAAGAUCGCGCCACUGCACUCCAGCCUGGGUGACAGAGCGAGACUCCGUCUCAA
RNAcentral lists this non-coding RNA (148 nucleotides) under Nomascus leucogenys (northern white-cheeked gibbon). Lineage: Eukaryota; Metazoa; Chordata; Mammalia; Primates; Hylobatidae. The record is from Rfam by way of RNAcentral.